This 3003-nucleotide long non-coding RNA is filed under the name Takifugu rubripes (torafugu). RNAcentral describes it as "lncRNA (ENSTRUG00000031456.1)". The record is from RNAcentral. Lineage: Eukaryota; Metazoa; Chordata; Actinopteri; Tetraodontiformes; Tetraodontidae.
GGAUACUUAGCCUACUAUUAAACAUGCCCAUAUACGGCGGAGCUGGGAAAUGGCUCCUAAACGUACAGUUGGAAACUAUCUUGUUACAAACUAUCCAUAAAUAUAAUUUCUUUAUACAUUUCAAAAGGCCUACCGCAGAACAAAUGUAGUCAAUCUUCUGAUGCAGUAAAGCUGAUUGUUGUUGGUUGUAAACUAAACACAUUUAUAUUACAUAUAUGGUUGAUGUCAGGUUCCCAGUUUCUGGGAACUCUUUUGCAGGUUUUCUCCUGCGGGGGGCGUGGUGGAGCCAUGCCUCAGCCGCAGGUGGUGCCGGGGACUGGUGCACCUGCAGACUAUCGGUAAUCAAGCCACCUAUUUAUGGACUGUUCUCACGGUUGGCCAGCAUUGGCGUGUUUUGUCUGAUUCGGAAUACCCUGGCUAUACCCACCUGGACUAUCGUAAGACUUUUUCCUCCGUGGAUUACUUUUGAACCCGUUCCUCGGACUAUCGUUUAUCUAUUUCCUUCGUGGACUGCUUUUGACCCCGCUCGGGAUUUUUUGUUGUAAGUUUUCAUUUUCCUGUGGGUUAAGAACUGAGUCGUGGUCUCCACGCCUUUUGAGUUGCACGAUUUUCUGUGAACUUAAAUAAAGCUUCUCAAACGAUCCGCCACAGUGUCCUGCCUGCUUUCGGGUCCUGAUACAACCGCCCAUAACAUCCAGCCGUAUAUUCGAUGGCCUGCAAUUUAAAGUAAGCCUCAUUCAUAUAGGUCUCGCUUGACCGGCGCCAUUUUAGGGGAUCCUUACGCGUAGGUGUGCCUCUCAUCGAUUGGCGGAGCGUUUACCGUAGUGCACCUACCAAAGGCGCAAAGCAGACACAAGGCGCUCCAUAUAAGAAUUUUAUGGUCGUAAAAAAACGGUAGUUACUCUUCCACAACACUUAAGCCACAGUGAAACAUGGGGUCCUCAUUAAUACAAAUAUUUGGACACACACAGAGGGUUGUGCUUGUUUUCAAGAUAUACUUUAUAAACCCCCAUAGGGAAAUUGAAUUGUAAUAGCAGCAUAGACAUGAAGGAAUGUAACUAUAGUGUAUAGACAAAUAGCAGCAGGUGUAUUUACAAAGUAUAGAAAUAAAAUACAAAUAAGGUUAGAAUGUAGGCAUAGAGAUAAAAACAAUAAUAAAUUAUAAGCAUAUUUACAUACAUAUAGAAAUAAGAUUAAAACAUAAGCAUUAAACAAUUAAUGUAAUUGAAUGGGUUUGGAGGGCACCCGAGCUGAUGCAUAAAUCCAGUCAAGAGAGUACAGCUCUGACAGGAGGAAUUAUACAGUGUAAUGGCAGGAAUGACUUCCUCCACCGUUCUUAGAAGCUGCUUCUCAGUUUGUCCACUGUUAUGGAGCGGGUGGGAGGGAUUGUCCAGGAUUUAUUCCCAUCCACUUGCACAUCCUAAUCAACACAGUCAACCUUCAAAGUUCAUCCAUACAAAGUGAAUCUAUGAGAUCGCGCAUGUUUCAGUUGCUAAAAUUGCGUCAACAUUUAUUUGAUCAAACAUCACAUAAAUAUUGCUCACUAUACAUUUCCAUCAACAUGACUGCUGGCAGCUUUUCCUGCAUGGCUCUUUCUUUAUGUCUUCAUUGUUAUUUUACUUUUUAGGGCGGAACCACGGAUACUUGUUCACAGUAGUCUUCUGCUCUAGCUGGCUGGCUGCUGGCUGGCUGCUGGCUGCUGAUCUUUUAAUACAUAUAUUCUUGCUCUUCUGCUGCUUUUGCUGGGUCUAGAAAAGAUGGACAGAGCUGUGAAAGGUGGGCCUGGAUUUUCUUAUUUGUUGCUUAUUAUUAGUUUAUUAAUUAUUAUUGAAACAGCUUUGAGUUUUUUUCUUCAAAAUUAAAAAGAUAAAGGAGGCCUUGAGUUACAUGAGCUUGUGGCCAUUUUUUUGAGCUAUUGUGAGUUUUAGGGGACCAAUUUUUCAAAGACUUAAAAUUCGAAAAUCUAAGAUUUAAAGUCGGUCAUCUGUUGAGUUUCCGGUGACACCAACAAAGGCCUUACCUUUUGUCCCCCAAACUCACCUUGUUGGUCUGCUGUUGACUCUGUCUGCCCUCAACCGGUUUCUCCGAUUUUACUUCAUUCUGUUCUUUUUUUUCCGUUUUUCCCUUCAAUUUCUUUUUUAAAUUUUUGAAUAUGUUCCUGGAGGGAAAUAAGCAGGAAUUUAAAACCAUUUAAAACUUAUCAUUUAGGUGGAAAUAAUAAAUAGAAAAUCAUUUGUUUUUCCAGAAAUCUGACAUUUCUUACAGGAAAGAAAAUUUCUUUGGAGCUUCUGUAGAUGUCAUCGCCUCUGGUUGUGCUUUAGCAGAACGUCCAGCAGACGAAACUAGAAAAGAUUGUGUUGGGUUUUCUUAUACUGUGCAGUAUUUUACAAUUUAAUAUCCUGAUAAUAACGUCUACACAAAUCAAAUAUGCUUCACUGCAAUGACAUGUAAUACAGUACAAUAUUCUAAUAAACUGUAUAGCUUUAUAUGGAACACACAACGAACCUUUACCAGGUUCCCCCUUCUUAUUAACAUCCAGCUUGUUGUGAGUCUCCUGUUCACUUCCCCCUGAGUCACUGGGUAGCCAAGGACGGAUGGACCAUAUCCGCAUGACCUCCUGCUGCUGACUGGUGUCUCCUCCAGUUUCAGAUUCUUCAUCUGAACUGAUUAUUGAGUAAGAAGGGUAUCUGUGGUGUUGGAGAGACAGUUUUUAAGAUCAGUUACACUGAAGAGUUUCAGCAAAAAUAUUUAAAGAGAGACGAUCAAUAGUCUAACAUUGAUGGGGGACGACAAGAAAGAGUCGAGUUCAAAACUGAAUUUUCUUCCAUGGAAUUGACUUACUUUGGUUUGGCUCUGGGCGUCUUGUCCGGUUCUGCCGGCUGGUCCAGGAGUUCACUGACUGGUGCUACAGGCUUUACCUGGAUGUCUUUAGAGGGCAGCCUAAGCUGAGAUCUCCCUGGCAUCUCUGAACACAUAAAGUGACCAUUUUAACACCAUCACCAA